Molecule: ribosomal RNA, 264 nt
Filed under: uncultured archaeon
Lineage: Archaea
Description: partial 16S ribosomal RNA
Rfam family: Archaeal small subunit ribosomal RNA
Source: RNAcentral
AGUCACUGACAUUAGAUACCCCGGUAGUCCCAGCCGUAAACUAUGCGCGUUAGGUGUACUGGUGACCACGAGUCACCGGGGUGCCGAAGGGAAACCGUGAAGCGAGCCACCUGGGAAGUACGGCCGCAAGGCUGAAACUUAAAGGAAUUGGCGGGGAGCACCACAACAGGUGGAGCCUGCGGUUUAAUUGGAUUCAACGCCGGACAUCUCACCGGAUAAGACAGCUGAAUGAUUGUCAAUCUGAAGGUUUUACAUGACUAGCUG